RNAcentral lists this unclassified non-coding RNA (1300 nucleotides) under Hevea brasiliensis (rubber tree). Lineage: Eukaryota; Viridiplantae; Streptophyta; Magnoliopsida; Malpighiales; Euphorbiaceae. The record is from RNAcentral.
GGGAAGCCAACGAAAAAUCCACCAUGGAAACGGAAGCUCAACACUCGAAUCCUCAAAAUGAGGCUGCCAAUGCUGUUUCCAUCAACUCUUUCAUCGAGAUCACUUCCUCUUCCAAAGAGGAAGCCCUUUUCUUCUUAGAGAGCCACAAUUGGGACCUCGACGCCGCCGUUUCCACCUUCUUGGAUAACCAUGCUGCCGAUGCCGUCAACGCCACCGCCACCCGCCCAGUUCCACCCCCUGAUUCGCCUGAAUUUGCUCCUUCGCAGUCGCCAUCGCGUUCUCGCUCGCCUUCCCCACCUGCUUCUCGUGCUCCUUACGAGCUCCGUUCGAGGAGAGCGAGGGGUGAAUCGGAUAAGAAGGACGACAAUAGGGCUUCUGGUAGCAGGACGCGUCGCAUCCGCACCCUUUCUGACCUAAACCGGCCGGCGGAAGGGGACUCUGAUAGCGACUCUGAUGAGCUACAAGAGUAUUACACUGGUGGUGAGAAGAGUGGAAUGCUUGUCCAGGAUCCUGCCAAAGGUAAUUCUGUCGAUGCAAUUUUUGAUCAAGCCAGACAAUCAGCAGUCGAUGUACCUGUUGAACCAUCUUCAGCUUCUAAAAGCUUUACUGGAACUGCAAGAUUGCUCUCUGGGGAGACAGUGCCAUCAAUUCCUAGGCACCCAGAGGCUGUCACUCACACUGUCACUUUUUGGAGGAAUGGAUUCUCCGUUGAUGAUGGUCCUUUAAGGAGGUUGGAUGAUCCUGAAAAUGCACCAUUUUUAGAGAGUAUUCGUAGGUCAGAGUGCCCUGUAGAGCUUGAACCCGCAGAUAGGAGGACAUCUGUCCAUGUUAACCUCGUCCGAAGGGAGGAAGACUACCCAGAACCGGUGAAGCGCCGCCAUGCUCCAUUCCAAGGCGUUGGGAGAACCUUAGCUAGUGACUCAGCAAACUCGGUUGCUCCAGAGCGGACUUCUGCUGCUACUUCACUGAAUGUUGCUCCGUCCCCAUCAACAGGUUUGGUGGUAGACGACUCACUGCCAAUAACUUCUCUUCAGCUAAGGUUGGCAGAUGGGACACGAAUGGUCUCGCGGUUCAACCACCACCAUACAAUUAGGGACAUUCGUGGGUUCAUUGAUGCAUCAAGGCCUAGUGGUGCAAGAAAUUACCAACUCCAGACGAUGGGUUUCCCUCCCAAACAAUUGGCUGAAUUAGAUCAAACUAUCGAACAAGCUGGAAUAGCCAAUUCUGUUGUGAUUCAGAAAUUCUAACAUGCUGAAAAUCAUUCGACAGCGAAGGUUAGCGAACAUUGAAAACCAAGUUU